RNAcentral lists this ribosomal RNA (383 nucleotides) under uncultured eukaryote. Its description in RNAcentral is "partial 18S ribosomal RNA". It matches the Rfam family "Eukaryotic small subunit ribosomal RNA", at positions 592 to 976 of the family's 1831-position model. The record is from RNAcentral.
CAAUAGCGUGUAUUAAAGUUGUUGCAGUUAAAAAGCUCGUAGUUGGAUUUCUGUUGGGAGCGAUCGGUCUGGCGCUUAGCGCGAGUACUUGCAUCGUCUCCGGCCAUCCUUGGGGAGAGUCUGUCUGGCAUUAAGUUGUCGGGCAGAGGAUCCUCAUCGUUUACUGUGAAAAAAUUAGAGUGUUCAAAGCAGGCUUAUGCCGUUGAAUAUAUUAGCAUGGAAUAAUAAGAUAGGACUUUGGUACUAUUUUGUUGGUUUGCGCACCAAAGUAAUGAUUAAUAGGGACAGUUGGGGGUAUUCGUAUUCCGUUGUCAGAGGUGAAAUUCUUGGAUUUACGGAAGACGAACUACUGCGAAAGCAUUUACCAAGGAUGUUUUCAUUAA